RNAcentral lists this ribosomal RNA (465 nucleotides) under uncultured bacterium. RNAcentral's name for it is "bacterial SSU rRNA". It matches the Rfam family "Bacterial small subunit ribosomal RNA", at positions 8 to 520 of the family's 1533-position model. The record is from RNAcentral.
AGGGUUCGAUUAUGGCUCAGGAUGAACGCUGGCGGCGUGCUUAACACAUGCAAGUCGAACGAACCUUCGGGUUAGUGGCGGACGGGUGAGUAACGCGUGAGAAUCUGCCCUCAGGAGGGGGAUAACGGUUGGAAACGACCGCUAAUACCCCAUAUGCCUAUUGGUGAAAUGAAUUUCGCCUGAGGAUGAGCUCGCGUCUGAUUAGCUUGUUGGUGAGGUAAUGGCUCACCAAGGCUUCGAUCAGUAGCUGGUCUGAGAGGAUGAUCAGCCACACUGGGACUGAGACACGGCCCAGACUCCUACGGGAGGCAGCAGUGGGGAAUUUUCCGCAAUGGGCGAAAGCCUGACGGAGCAACGCCGCGUGAGGGACGAAGGCCUCUGGGCUGUAAACCUCUUUUCUCAAGGAAGAAGAUAUGACGGUACUUGAGGAAUAAGCCACGGCUAAUUCCGUGCCAGCCGCCGCGG